GUCAAAACUAAAGUAAUACAUUGUAUACCUAUAGCCAUUACCGAUUUUUUAUUACGAAUGAAUGGCAAUACGUAGAAUUGGGAAGAUAAUUUGAAAAUUUCUUAAUAAACUGUUAUCAUGUAAUGUCCAUAGAGAAGCGUAUCACUGCACGAUUUUUACUCAAACACAACAGGUGUAACUGCAAAGGAUUGUUUACAACCAAUACGUACAAAUGCAAAACAGAUAUGGCAGCGUGUUGAAGUAAAUUUUAUCCUAAGCAUCAAUGCAAGAAUAUAGUUAACGGUAAAAAAUAACUGUGGUAUUAAUAUUUGAUGCUUUUGUAGCCUUUGCAUUAUCAAAUGAUGUAAGCAUCAUUGUUUUUCAUUAGAUAAAGUUUAUAGUCAUAGACCUUUUUGAAAUACAUAA
Molecule: long non-coding RNA, 405 nt
Filed under: Mytilus galloprovincialis (Mediterranean mussel)
Lineage: Eukaryota; Metazoa; Mollusca; Bivalvia; Mytilida; Mytilidae
Source: RNAcentral